This 87-nucleotide transfer RNA is filed under the name Sorghum bicolor (sorghum). Its description in RNAcentral is "tRNA tRNA-Tyr". It matches the Rfam family "tRNA". From Rfam's summary of the family: Transfer RNA (tRNA) molecules are approximately 80 nucleotides in length. Lineage: Eukaryota; Viridiplantae; Streptophyta; Magnoliopsida; Poales; Poaceae. The record is from Rfam by way of RNAcentral.
CCGACCUUAGCUCAGUUGGUAGAGCGGAAGACUGUAGUAUGUUGCAGAUCAAUCCUUAGGUCGCUGGUUCGAAUCCGGCAGGUCGGA